GCCUGGCUGGCUCAGUCAGUGGAGCAUCCGACUCUUGAUCUCAGGGUCGUGAGUUCAAGUCCCACGUUGGGUA
This 73-nucleotide transfer RNA is filed under the name Canis lupus familiaris (dog). It matches the Rfam family "tRNA". From Rfam's summary of the family: Transfer RNA (tRNA) molecules are approximately 80 nucleotides in length. Lineage: Eukaryota; Metazoa; Chordata; Mammalia; Carnivora; Canidae. The record is from Rfam by way of RNAcentral.